GGUUAAGCGACUAAGCGUACACGGUGGAUGCCCUGGCAGUCAGAGGCGAUGAAGGACGUGCUAAUCUGCGAUAAGCGUCGGUAAGGUGAUAUGAACCGUUAUAACCGGCGAUUUCCGAAUGGGGAAACCCAGUGUGAUUCGUCACACUAUCAUUAACUGAAUCCAUAGGUUAAUGAGGCGAACCGGGGGAACUGAAACAUCUAAGUACCCCGAGGAAA
Molecule: ribosomal RNA, 218 nt
Filed under: Escherichia coli
Lineage: Bacteria; Pseudomonadati; Pseudomonadota; Gammaproteobacteria; Enterobacterales; Enterobacteriaceae
Description: partial 23S ribosomal RNA
Rfam family: Bacterial large subunit ribosomal RNA
Source: RNAcentral